AUGAAGAGUUUGAUCCUGGCUCAGGAUGAACGCUAGCGGCAGGCUUAACACAUGCAAGUCGAGGGGCAGCGCGUGAGUAGCAAUACUUAUGGCGGCGACCGGCGCAAGGGUGCGUAACGCGUGAGCAACAUGCCCGUAUCAGGAGGAUAACCCGGAGAAAUCCGGACUAAUACUCCAUGGGUCCUUAGGGAGGCAUCUUCCAGAGGAUAAAGAUACGUCGGAUACGGAUUGGCUCGCGUGACAUUAGCUGGACGGCGGGGUAACGGCCCACCGUGGCAACGAUGUCUAGGGGAACUGAGAGGUUGGUCCCCCACACUGGAACUGAGACACGGUCCAGACUCCUACGGGAGGCAGCAGUGAGGAAUAUUGGACAAUGGGCGGAAGCCUGAUCCAGCCAUGCCGCGUGAAGGAAUACGGUCCUAUGGAUUUUAAACUUCUUUUGUACGUGAGCAAUAAGGGUCACGCGUGGCCCGAUGAGAGUAGCGUACGAAUAAGCAUCGGCUAACUCCGUGCCAGCAGCCGCGGUAAUACGGAGGAUGCGAGCGUUAUCCGGAUUCAUUGGGUUUAAAGGGUGCGUAGGCGGUGGCGUAAGUCAGCGGUGAAAUUCACGGGCUCAACCCGUGCCGUGCCGUUGAUACUGCGUGACUGGAAUACGGUUGCCGUGGGAGGAAUGUGUAAUGUAGCGGUGAAAUGCAUAGAUAUUACACAGAACACCGAUUGCGAAGGCAUCUCACGAAGCCGCGAUUGACGCUGAUGCACGAAAGUGCGGGGAUCAAACAGGAUUAGAUACCCUGGUAGUCCGCACAGUAAACGAUGAUGACUAGCUGUGGGCGAUAGACAGUCCGUGGCUAAGCGAAAGCGAUAAGUCAUCCACCUGGGGAGUACGACCGCAAGGUUGAAACUCAAAGGAAUUGACGGGGGCCCGCACAAGCGGAGGAACAUGUGGUUUAAUUCGAUGAUACGCGAGGAACCUUACCCGGGCUUGAAUUGCAACUGAAUGAUGUGGAGACAUGUCAGCCGCAAGGCAGUUGUGAAGGUGCUGCAUGGUUGUCGUCAGCUCGUGCCGUGAGGUGUCGGCUUAAGUGCCAUAACGAGCGCAACCCUUGCUGACAGUUGCCAUCAGGUGAUGCUGGGGACUCUGUCGGGACUGCCACCGUAAGGUGUGAGGAAGGGGGGGAUGACGUCAAAUCAGCACGGCCCUUAUGUCCGGGGCGACACACGUGUUACAAUGGUGGGUACAGCGGGAAGCUACGCGGCGACGCGAUGCAAAUCUCGAAAACCCAUCCCAGUUCGGAUCGGAGUCUGCAACUCGACUCCGUGAAGUUGGAUUCGCUAGUAAUCGCGCAUCAGCCAUGGCGCGGUGAAUACGUUCCCGGGCCUUGUACACACCGCCCGUCAAGCCAUGGAAGCCGGGGGUGCCUGAAGUCCGAGACCGCGAGGAUCGGCCUAGGGCAAAACUGGUAACUGGGGCUAAGUCGUAACAAGGUAGCCGUACCGGAAGGUGUGGCUGGAACACCUCCUU
This 1522-nucleotide ribosomal RNA is filed under the name human gut metagenome. RNAcentral describes it as "Bacterial small subunit ribosomal RNA". It matches the Rfam family "Bacterial small subunit ribosomal RNA". The record is from RNAcentral.